This 200-nucleotide unclassified non-coding RNA is filed under the name soil metagenome. RNAcentral's name for it is "partial contains internal transcribed spacer 2 and large subunit ribosomal RNA". The record is from RNAcentral.
UUCGAGCGUCAUUACAACCCUCAAGCUCUGCUUGGUAUUGGAUGCAAUCGCUAUGAUUCAUCCUAAAAUCAGUGGCGGUACCAUUUGGCUUCCAGCGUAGUAAUUUUCUCGCUGUGGAGAACUAGGUGUGUGCUUGCCAGCAACCCCCUAAUUUUUAAAAGGUUGACCUCGGAUCAGGUAGGGAUACCCGCUGAACUUAA